This 587-nucleotide long non-coding RNA is filed under the name Erythranthe guttata (spotted monkey flower). RNAcentral's name for it is "long non-coding RNA (EGUT_LNC003570)". Lineage: Eukaryota; Viridiplantae; Streptophyta; Magnoliopsida; Lamiales; Phrymaceae. The record is from RNAcentral.
UUUCCACCUCUGUUAUUCUUCUUUUUUUAAUAUUUUUUUUAUUUCAUUAAUUUUUCGGACUAAAAAUAAAUCAAAUUACAAAUACACAAAUGGCCACAAACUUCUCUUUCAUCCUCCUCGCCAAAACACUCCUCUCUGCCGCCACCUCUGUCAUCAAAUACGAAAAUCUCCCCAAUUUAAAAUUCGCAUCUGCAUUAAUUACCUGAUUCCUCCUUCACCUUAUUCAUCGCCGGCGCCGCUACUGCUCCAUUAAAUGCACAGUCAAAAUAGAAAAUGGUCCUCGCAAUAUCUUCGACUGAUUUUUUUUCCUCUUGGGUUAAUUGCGUUUCGGAAUUGAAAUUUGAUGGGAUUAUUUGGGGGAUUUUGAGGUGGCUUUGGAUGGGGAACGAUGAAGAAUGAUAUGUCUGAUUUGGGGUGUGAUUUGUAAGAGGAAUACAACUCCAUGACAAAACGAUUUAAAUAUGGUGUAUCUUGGACGGUUGUGGAAAUAACAUUGUGAAAUAAGAUUUUUUUCGAACACAAUUGUUGUGGAAGAGGGCCGCCAUUAACAAGGUUGUUGCAGGGUUAUGCAAAAUUGAGUUUUGGGU